RNAcentral lists this transfer RNA (86 nucleotides) under Candidatus Tokpelaia sp. JSC085. RNAcentral's name for it is "tRNA-Leu". It matches the Rfam family "tRNA". Rfam says of the family: Transfer RNA (tRNA) molecules are approximately 80 nucleotides in length. Lineage: Bacteria; Pseudomonadati; Pseudomonadota; Alphaproteobacteria; Hyphomicrobiales. The record is from RNAcentral.
GCGGGUGUGGUGAAAUUUGGUAGACGCACGGCACUCAAAAUGCCGCGGUUCACGCCGUGUCGGUUCGAGUCCGACCACCCGCACCA